Molecule: long non-coding RNA, 1310 nt
Filed under: Canis lupus familiaris (dog)
Lineage: Eukaryota; Metazoa; Chordata; Mammalia; Carnivora; Canidae
Description: lncRNA (ENSCAFG00030003916.1)
Source: RNAcentral
AUGAAGACAUUGAAUAAAUUACUUCUGUCAUACAGCUUGGAAGUGGCAGAGUCUAGAUUCAAACCCAGAACUUCCAGACUCAAAAGACAAUGGAAGAUGUCCAUUGAAGAAUCCGGUUUGUACAAUGCAACCUUAAGCACAUCUUUCAAUAGUGGCCUGAUUGAAGAUGCAGCAGUGGAUCACAGAAUAAUGAGGAAGAUGGAAACUAAAGGGCAUUCUCACUCUUUGAAUUCAGAAGCAGACUCUGAAACAAGAAUUUGAGUGCAGACAAUUUAUUUUAGAAUUAUGAAACAUCAGCAAAGAAGUGGGGAAAUUAAAAAGGAAAGGAGCCAACACAACACAUUGCGGAAGAGAAAGUUACUGUUGCAGCUCACUGAGGCCCCAUCUCACUGAAGACUUCUGGAAAUGCCGUAUGUAUGUAUGUAUGUAUGUAUGUAUGUAUUCAGGUGUAGGGUUUAGUGAUUCAUCAUUUACGUACAACACCAAGAGUUCAUCAAACAAGUAUACUCUUUAACUUCCAUCACCCAUUGAGCCUAUCCUCCACACCUUCCCUCCAGCAACCUCAGGUUGUUCUUUAUAGUUAAGAGUCUGUUUUAUGGACUACCUCUCUCUGUCCCCAACCCCUCCACCCCAGUGUUCAUCUGUGCUGUUUCUUAAAUUCUGCAUAUGAGCAAAAUCAUAUAGUAUUUGCCUUUCUUUGACUGACUCAUUUCAUUAGCAUGAUAUCCUCUAGCUCCAUCCAUGCUAUGCAAAUGGCAAGAUUUCAUUCUUCUUUAUGGCUGAGUAAUAUUACACUGCAUAUGCAUACCAACUCUUUAUUCAUUCAUCAGUCAAUGAACAUUAGGGCUCUUUCCAUAAUUUGGCUAUUGUCAAUGAUGCUGCUAUAAACAUCGGGGUGCAUAUAUUCCUUCAAAUCAGUGUUUUUGUAUCCUUUGGGUAAAUGCCAGUGGUGAAAUUUAUUUUGAACUUUUUGAGGAACUUCCAUACUGUUUUCCAGAGUGGCUGCACCAGUUUGCAUUCCACCAACAGUGUAAGAGGGUUCCCUUUUCUCUGCAUCCUUGCCAACACCUGUCAUUUCCUGUGCUGUUAAUUUUAGCCAUUCUGACAGGUGUGAGGUGAUAUCUCAUUGUAGUUUUGAUUUUUAUUUCCCUCAUGAUGAGUGAUGUGGAGCAUCUUUGUAUACCUGUUAGUCACCUAGAUAUUUUCUUUGGAAAAACAUAUAUUCAUGUCUUCUUUCCAUUUCUUUUUUUUUAAUUUUUUAUUUAUGAUAGUCACACACACAGAGAGAGAGAGAGAGGCAGAGACAUAGG